AGUGAACGCUGGCGGUAGGCCUAACACAUGCAAGUCGAACGGCAGCACAGUAAGAGCUUGCUCUUACGGGUGGCGAGUGGCGGACGGGUGAGGAAUACAUCGGAAUCUACUUUUUCGUGGGGGAUAACGUAGGGAAACUUACGCUAAUGCCGCAUACGACCUACGGGUGAAAGCAGGGGAUCUUCGGACCUUGCGCGAUUGAAUGAGCCGAUGUCGGAUUAGCUAGUUGGCGGGGUAAAGGCCCACCAAGGCGACGAUCCGUAGCUGGUCUGAGAGGAUGGUCAGCCACACUGGAACUGAGACACGGUCCAGACUCCUACGGGAGGCAGCAGUGGGGAAUAUUGGACAAUGGGCGCAAGCCUGAUCCAGCCAUACCGCGUGGGUGAAGAAGGCCUUCGGGUUGUAAAGCCCUUUUGUUGGGAAAGAAAAGCAGCAGGUUAAUACCCCGCUGUUCUGACGGUACCCAAAGAAUAAGCACCGGCUAACUUCGUG
This 492-nucleotide ribosomal RNA is filed under the name uncultured bacterium. Its description in RNAcentral is "partial 16S ribosomal RNA". It matches the Rfam family "Bacterial small subunit ribosomal RNA", at positions 29 to 507 of the family's 1533-position model. The record is from RNAcentral.